RNAcentral lists this long non-coding RNA (222 nucleotides) under Oryza brachyantha (malo sina). RNAcentral describes it as "long non-coding RNA (OBRA_LNC001677)". The record is from RNAcentral. Lineage: Eukaryota; Viridiplantae; Streptophyta; Magnoliopsida; Poales; Poaceae.
AGUUGAUUAGGCUUGAGUGACUGAGUGUUGUUUUUGGGUGAAGAUGGAUGCAUGUGAAGUCAAGGUGGUCUAUUACUCUUGGAGAUUUAUCUCAUAGACGGAUAGACGUCGCUCGCGAGUCUCCAACUCUUGUGGAUCAUCUGGGAGCAAGUUCUGAAGGUUGGUGCCUAACCUCCGUAAGGAAAUAGGUAAGGUUGAUAGUGGAUUCUUGCGCUUCUUUAU